RNAcentral lists this unclassified non-coding RNA (1550 nucleotides) under Hevea brasiliensis (rubber tree). Lineage: Eukaryota; Viridiplantae; Streptophyta; Magnoliopsida; Malpighiales; Euphorbiaceae. The record is from RNAcentral.
GGAAUGGUCUCUCUAUCUCUCUCCCAUAUGCACAACCAAAAUAAUGGUAAGUCUACUGAAAAAUCACUAUGCAUUUCUAAAUUCAAACCAAUAAUGUCUUAUUGGCAAUGGCAGCACGUGACACAUAAAUCCAAUAUAAUUCAUAUUUUCUGGGUGUUUUUACCCUGAAACUUUGAUCACAGUGUCUUAGAACCAUCAACUGCUUUUUACUCUUGCUUUCUACACCAACUCAAACUAUUGCCAAGCACAAGACAUGGAAUUUCAGGCCAACUGCAAAUUUGCAAUUGUGACUAUGGGAACUAUAAUCUACAGGCUUCCAUUUGCCUGGAAAUAUAUUUGCUACAGACUGCUAUUCGGCCUGGAUUUCAUGAUCUCAAUCACUGACUGCUUGCAUAAUGCAUUAUAAAAUAGUCACUCUUAUCAGCUUGAUGGUUUCUCCAAUAGAGAUCCAUCAAAAGGAAAGCAAGUGAUUUCAGUUUUCAAGUAUAAUCUGAGAUUCUUUGCUUCACAUGAAGAAUGACAUAUGAGUUCUGCUAAUCAUGUAUUUAGUUUUGGCUGUAUCUGUUAUCUAUGUCACUUCACUUUACAAUGCAAAAUUCUUGUCUGCAAAUAGAAAGACCAACGUUCAAAUUAUCCACAAUCAACAUUCCUUCUAGUUCCUUUAUUUGGAUCUCAAACCUCUAAAUUCAAAUCAUGAGCGAUAUCAAUCAACUUAAUGAAGAGGAAUCUGCCAGCUGCGUUAAGAGUGCGACAACAUCAUCUGAAGUUCCGAGGAGAUAUCGAGCAUUUGAUUGCUUCCUUGAAACGGCACAAGAAAAGUAGUUCUCCCCCUUGAGAUCAAGUACAGAAGAACCCUCAUGAACUGAAAUUCUAUCGGGAACAAUUGGCCGCCAACCAGCACUUCCAAGACUGUUCCCUUCUAAAGUCGACAAGGAACGUUGUUUCUUGUGGUGAGACUUGGAACGGCUUCUGCCACUGGGAAUCUUUGGGACAGGUAAACCAACAGGCCCUGGUGAUCUGCAUCUUACUGUAGCAAGGGUUUCACUGGGAAGCUCUGGCUCAAAAAAUGUAUAGAUAUCUUCAUCCUGAAACAAUGAAUCCAAAAGUGAAAUGAGUAAGAGUUCACACUUCAAUCAAACUGCAGUGUCACUGGAAGUUUCCUUCAAAUUAACAUACACUUAAUCCAGUUAGAUUAGACCCAACUAGGGUACCUUUCUUAUCUAUCCAACUGGAUUUGCCAGGUUGAAGGUUGCAGGUAUAGCCCAAAGGAAUUAACUUCUUUGUGUAGGAUUAGUUUACGGGAUGGGCUUGGGUCAAUUAUCUCCCAUACAUUUCUAGGGCCGAGCAAGCACUUUUAAAUGUCAAUUAGAGGUACUGAUCCAGCCAUUCUAAACACCAGAAAUUGUUCCAAAGAAAUAAAGAAUAGGGUGGUUUCCAGAUUUCCUUCCUAGGACGUAACUUCAGCAUGCCAGAAAAUAUAAAAAAUGGUGCUGUUAGGUGCAGCAAGGAUAAGAAUCCUUUUAAUAUCAAACGGUACAAAUGGAGUUCAU